RNAcentral lists this ribosomal RNA (253 nucleotides) under uncultured bacterium. RNAcentral describes it as "partial 16S ribosomal RNA". It matches the Rfam family "Bacterial small subunit ribosomal RNA", at positions 524 to 776 of the family's 1533-position model. The record is from RNAcentral.
UACGAAGGGGGCUAGCGUUGCUCGGAAUCACUGGGCGUAAAGGGUGCGUAGGCGGGUUUUUAAGUCAGAGGUGAAAUCCUGGAGCUCAACUCCAGAACUGCCUUUGAUACUGAAAGUCUUGAGUAUGGGAGAGGUGAGCGGAACUGCGAGUGUAGAGGUGAAAUUCGUAGAUAUUCGCAAGAACACCAGUGGCGAAGGCGGCUCACUGGCCCAUUACUGACGCUGAGGCACGAAAGCGUGGGGAGCAAACAGG